AGCGUACACGGUGGAUGCCCUGGCAGUCAGAGGCGAUGAAGGGCGUGCUAAUCUGCGAUAAGCGCCGGUAAGGUGAUAUGAACCGUUAUAACCGGCGAUACCCGAAUGGGGAAACCCAGUGUGAUUCGUCACACUAUCAUUAACUGAAUCCAUAGGUUAAUGAGGCGAACCGGGGGAACUGAAACAUCUAAGUACCCCGAGGAAAAGAAAUCAACCGAGAUUCCCCCAGUAGCGGCGAGCGAACGGGGAGGAGCCCAGAGCCUGAAUCAGCAUGUGUGUUAGUGGAAGCGUCUGGAAAGGCGCGCGAUACAGGGUGACAGCCCCGUACACAAAAGCGCAUGUGCUGUGAGCUCGAUGAGUAGGGCGGGACACGUGGUAUCCUGUCUGAAUAUGGGGGGACCAUCCUCCAAGGCUAAAUACUCCUGACUGACCGAUAGUGAACCAGUACCGUGAGGGAAAGGCGAAAAGAACCCCGGCGAGGGGAGUGAAAAAGAACCUGAAACCGUGUACGUACAAGCAGUGGGAGCCCCACCACUAAGCCAGUGGUGAACUCCACAUACGCAUCCUUUGCUGAGGAUACGGUUAACGGAGCGAAAGCGACGUUCAACCGCAAAAGAAGCAGAGGGGGCUUAGUGGUGGGGUGACUGCGUACCUUUUGUAUAAUGGGUCAGCGACUUAUAUUCUGUAGCAAGGUUAACCGAAUAGGGGAGCCGGAGGGAAACCGAGUCUUAACCGGGCGUUAAGUUGCAGGGUAUAGACCCGAAACCCGGUGAUCUAGCCAUGGGCAGGUUGAAGGUUGGGUAACACUAACUGGAGGACCGAACCGACUAAUGUUGAAAAAUUAGCGGAUGACCUGUGGCUGGGGGUGAAAGGCCAAUCAAACCGGGAGAUAGCUGGUUCUCCCCGAAAGCUAUUUAGGUAGCGCCUCGUGAAUUCAUCUCCGGGGGUAGAGCACUGUUUCGGCUAGGGGGCCAUCCCGGCUUACCAACCCGAUGCAAACUGCGAAUACCGGAGAAUGUUAUCACGGGAGACACACGGCGGGUGCUAACGUCCGUCGUGAAGAGGGAAACAACCCAGACCGCCAGCUAAGGUCCCAAAGUCAUGGUUAAGUGGGAAACGAUGUGGGAAGGCCCAGACAGCCAGGAUGUUGGCUUAGAAGCAGCCAUCAUUUAAAGAAAGCGUAAUAGCUCACUGGUCGAGUCGGCCUGCGCGGAAGAUGUAACGGGGCUAAACCAUGCACCGAAGCUGCGGCAGCGACACUCAGGUGUUGUUGGGUAGGGGAGCGUUCUGUAAGCCUGUGAAGGUGGCCUGUGAGGGUUGCUGGAGGUAUCAGAAGUGCGAAUGCUGACAUAAGUAACGAUAAAGCGGGUGAAAAGCCCGCUCGCCGGAAGACCAAGGGUUCCUGUCCAACGUUAAUCGGGGCAGGGUGAGUCGACCCCUAAGGCGAGGCCGAAAGGCGUAGUCGAUGGGAAACGGGUUAAUAUUCCCGUACUUGGUGUUACUGCGAAGGGGGGACGGAGAAGGCUAUGUUGGCCGGGCGACGGUUGUCCCGGUUUAAGCGUGUAGGUGUGUGUUCCAGGUAAAUCCGGUUCACUUUAACACUGAGGCGUGAUGACGAGGCACUACGGUGCUGAAGCAACAAAUGCCCUGCUUCCAGGAAAAGCCUCUAAGCAUCAGGUAACAUCAAAUCGUACCCCAAACCGACACAGGUGGUCAGGUAGAGAAUACCAAGGCGCUUGAGAGAACUCGGGUGAAGGAACUAGGCAAAAUGGUGCCGUAACUUCGGGAGAAGGCACGCUGACAUGUAGGUGAAGUGAUUUACUCACGGAGCUGAAGUCAGUCGAAGAUACCAGCUGGCUGCAACUGUUUAUUAAAAACACAGCACUGUGCAAACACGAAAGUGGACGUAUACGGUGUGACGCCUGCCCGGUGCCGGAAGGUUAAUUGAUGGGGUCAGCGCAAGCGAAGCUCCUGAUCGAAGCCCCGGUAAACGGCGGCCGUAACUAUAACGGUCCUAAGGUAGCGAAAUUCCUUGUCGGGUAAGUUCCGACCUGCACGAAUGGCGUAAUGAUGGCCAGGCUGUCUCCACCCGAGACUCAGUGAAAUUGAACUCGCUGUGAAGAUGCAGUGUACCCGCGGCAAGACGGAAAGACCCCGUGAACCUUUACUAUAGCUUGACACUGAACAUUGAGCCUUGAUGUGUAGGAUAGGUGGGAGGCUUUGAAGCGUGGACGCCAGUCUGCGUGGAGCCGACCUUGAAAUACCACCCUUUAAUGUUUGAUGUUCUAACGUGGACCCGUGAUCCGGGUUGCGGACAGUGUCUGGUGGGUAGUUUGACUGGGGCGGUCUCCUCCUAAAGAGUAACGGAGGAGCACGAAGGUUGGCUAAUCCUGGUCGGACAUCAGGAGGUUAGUGCAAUGGCAUAAGCCAGCUUGACUGCGAGCGUGACGGCGCGAGCAGGUGCGAAAGCAGGUCAUAGUGAUCCGGUGGUUCUGAAUGGAAGGGCCAUCGCUCAACGGAUAAAAGGUACUCCGGGGAUAACAGGCUGAUACCGCCCAAGAGUUCAUAUCGACGGCGGUGUUUGGCACCUCGAUGUCGGCUCAUCACAUCCUGGGGCUGAAGUAGGUCCCAAGGGUAUGGCUGUUCGCCAUUUAAAGUGGUACGCGAGCUGGGUUUAGAACGUCGUGAGACAGUUCGGUCCCUAUCUGCCGUGGGCGCUGGAGAACUGAGGGGGGCUGCUCCUAGUACGAGAGGACCGGAGUGGACGCAUCACUGGUGUUCGGGUUGUCAUGCCAAUGGCACUGCCCGGUAGCUAAAUGCGGAAGAGAUAAGUGCUGAAAGCAUCUAAGCACGAAACUUGCCCCGAGAUGAGUUCU
This 2876-nucleotide ribosomal RNA is filed under the name Salmonella enterica subsp. enterica serovar Javiana. Its description in RNAcentral is "bacterial LSU rRNA". It matches the Rfam family "Bacterial large subunit ribosomal RNA". Lineage: Bacteria; Pseudomonadati; Pseudomonadota; Gammaproteobacteria; Enterobacterales; Enterobacteriaceae. The record is from RNAcentral.